AGCAUGUGGUUUAAUUCGAUGCAACGCGAAGAACCUUUACCUGGUCUUGACAUCCACGGAAGUUUUCAGAGAUGAGAAUGUGCCUUCGGGAACCGUGAGACAGGUGCUGCAUGGCUGUCGUCAGCUCGUGCCGUGAGGUGUAUGGUUAAGUCCGCUAACGAGCGCAACCCUCGUCGUAUGUUAUAUGUGUCAUACGAGACUGCCGGUAAAAGCCGGAGGAAGGUGAGGAUGAUGUCAAGUCAGCAUGACCUUUAUAUCCAGGGCUACACACACGCUACAAUGGUCUGUACAAUGGGUAGCCAAGCCGCGAGGCGGAGCCAAUCCUGAAAGCAGGCCUCAGUUCAGAUUGCAGUCUGCAACUCGACUGCAUGAAGCCGGAGUUGCUAGUAACCGCAGGUCAGCAAUACUGCGGUGAAUACGUUCCCGGGUCUU
RNAcentral lists this ribosomal RNA (432 nucleotides) under uncultured Anaerolineaceae bacterium. RNAcentral's name for it is "bacterial SSU rRNA". It matches the Rfam family "Bacterial small subunit ribosomal RNA", at positions 936 to 1382 of the family's 1533-position model. Lineage: Bacteria; Bacillati; Chloroflexota; Anaerolineae; Anaerolineales; Anaerolineaceae. The record is from RNAcentral.